RNAcentral lists this transfer RNA (82 nucleotides) under Macrolepiota fuliginosa MF-IS2. It matches the Rfam family "tRNA". Rfam says of the family: Transfer RNA (tRNA) molecules are approximately 80 nucleotides in length. Lineage: Eukaryota; Fungi; Basidiomycota; Agaricomycetes; Agaricales; Agaricaceae. The record is from Rfam by way of RNAcentral.
GGGGGCAUAGCUCAGUUGGGAGAGCAGUAGACUGAAGAAAUUCGUAUUCUAAAGGUCCCGCGUUCGAUCCGCGGUGCCCCCA